GACGAACGCUGGCGGCGCGCUUAACACAUGCAAGUCGAACGGAAAGGCCUGCUUUCCCUUGUGGAUUGCGGGUACUCGAGUGGCGAACGGGUGAGUAACACGUGAGUGAUCUGCCCCCAACUUGGGUAUAAGCCUGGGAAACUGGGUCUAAUUCCCGAUAGGACUGCAGGGUGGUGCCUGUGGUGGAAAACGAUUUUCUAGUGGUUGGGGAUGAGCUCGCGGCCUAUCAGCUUGUUGGUGGGGUAAUGGCCUACCAAGGCGGCGACGGGUAGCCGGCCUGGGAGGGUGGACGGCCACAUUGGGACGGAGAUACGGCCCAGACUCCUACGGGAGGCAGCAGUGGGGAAUAUUGCACAAUGGGCGGAAGCCUGAUGCAGCGACGCCGCGUGGGGGAUGACGGCCUUCGGGUUGUAAACUCCUUUCGACCGCGAGGAAGCCACCUGGUUGGAAGGGUGGUGACGGUAGUGGUAGAAGAAGCACCGGCUAACUACGUG
RNAcentral lists this ribosomal RNA (494 nucleotides) under uncultured bacterium. RNAcentral's name for it is "partial 16S ribosomal RNA". It matches the Rfam family "Bacterial small subunit ribosomal RNA", at positions 28 to 507 of the family's 1533-position model. The record is from RNAcentral.